RNAcentral lists this unclassified non-coding RNA (543 nucleotides) under Hevea brasiliensis (rubber tree). Lineage: Eukaryota; Viridiplantae; Streptophyta; Magnoliopsida; Malpighiales; Euphorbiaceae. The record is from RNAcentral.
AAAAAAAAUUAAAAAAAAAAAAAAAAAAGAAUCCAUCCAUCAGUAUCAAAGCAGUGAACUGUUACAAGAGAAGAGAAGCAACGCAAAACACCAUCACCAACACAUAAAUAUCCUUGCGGAGUAUGAAGAGUCCUUAAAAGUCUAUUCCACUGCAGAUCAUUGACCCCCAUUUAUCCUUUUAUGAGUUUUCUCUAAUUGAUUGUAGCUGGGAAAAGGAAAUCCGGAUUAUUGACCCAGCAAGUGAACUUGCAUGCUUGCACACAACAGCUUCAGUGGCUUGCUCCUCAGUUUCAAACAGAACAAGGGCCUGCUUCUUGCCAUUCAUCUCAAAGAGUUUGGUAUUGACGAUGGUGCCAUGCUCCUCUAAAUGGCUCACUAUCUCCUCUUCGGAAAUGUCCUGAGGUAGAGUGGAAAGGUGGAUCAUCUUUGUUGGCGAGCAGCAGUACCUGUAGUUCUUUGCAGCGUUACGGUUAAAGCGGUUGAGAUUGGAGUUGACGUACUCAUGAGUGUCAGCACCUUGAGUUAUGUUUGGAUGCUUUGAAA